GAUUAAAGUUCUCAGCUGUAUGGACACUUACACCUCCUUCAAGAUGGUGGUGCCCAUAGGCAACGAGAGACUCUGUGGAGGCAGGCCUCUUAAGUCUUGGUCCCCUGUGCUGACAGGAAGGGGACGGCCCUAUGUUCUUGGAGUUGGCACAUAUGCCACGCUAUCGAUGGCAGUUAGGGAGAUGGCGGCUUCAGAGCUGAGCUAUCCAGAGGAAGAGGCUACCUUCUUUGUAUGUACACCUUCAAAAAUGGCUACUCCACAGGUGCCAGCAUGUUUCCUCCUUUAAGGGCCUCAAAAGUUCAGAAUCCGAGUUCCUGGAGGUUCAUCAUGUGAUCCGCAGCAUCUUCUGCUCAAAGGUGUUACCGAGUGUGCCCAGCAGGGGGGCUGUGGGGUUGCCUAGGUGACCAACUUCAGGGAAGUACUCUGUGGAAGUCUGUUGGUCAAGUGAGGUGAUGAGAGGACCUGGAGGGAGGGGAGACUUCUGUGGGGUUCCUUGUUGUGUAUCAGUGAUGAGAGUCUGUGGAGAGUAUGAAGCUAACAAAUGAGAAGCGCUCUUCAGGUCGCAGCAAGAACCAUGGCUAGCAGAGGGAGAAAUCUACAAUCAACCACAUCCAGGGUACAUCUGAAUUGCACGAACCUUUUGCACUUUGUCUUCUUUCUUCUUCCUGACAAGAAUGUGGUCACAAUACCUGGAUAAGCAGAAGCCAUCUUGCUACUAUGAGUUUGAAAGUUACAAGAAGAUGACCAAGCAGAAAGGAAAGAGUCUGGGCUGUUAAUGACCUCAGAGUCCUUGCACCAGUCUUAGACAAUUGACCUCCAGGCUUCUUGUUACUGGAGAGAAAUAAAAACCCUUAUGUGUUCAAG
RNAcentral lists this long non-coding RNA (864 nucleotides) under Equus asinus (donkey). RNAcentral's name for it is "lncRNA (ENSEASG00005024463.1)". The record is from RNAcentral. Lineage: Eukaryota; Metazoa; Chordata; Mammalia; Perissodactyla; Equidae.